RNAcentral lists this ribosomal RNA (374 nucleotides) under Enterobacter sp. 85R. RNAcentral's name for it is "bacterial SSU rRNA". It matches the Rfam family "Bacterial small subunit ribosomal RNA", at positions 971 to 1345 of the family's 1533-position model. The record is from RNAcentral. Lineage: Bacteria; Pseudomonadati; Pseudomonadota; Gammaproteobacteria; Enterobacterales; Enterobacteriaceae.
UUACCUACUCUUGACAUCCAGAGAACUUAGCAGAGAUGCAUUGGUGCCUUCGGGAACUCUGAGACAGGUGCUGCAUGGCUGUCGUCAGCUCGUGUUGUGAAAUGUUGGGUUAAGUCCCGCAACGAGCGCAACCCUUAUCCUUUGUUGCCAGCGGUCCGGCCGGGAACUCAAAGGAGACUGCCAGUGAUAAACUGGAGGAAGGUGGGGAUGACGUCAAGUCAUCAUGGCCCUUACGAGUAGGGCUACACACGUGCUACAAUGGCGCAUACAAAGAGAAGCGAACUCGCGAGAGCAAGCGGACCUCAUAAAGUGCGUCGUAGUCCGGAUUGGAGUCUGCAACUCGACUCCAUGAAGUCGGAAUCGCUAGUAAUCGU